Non-coding RNA from Microbacterium ginsengisoli, 369 nucleotides. It matches the Rfam family "transfer-messenger RNA". Rfam says of the family: Bacterial tmRNA, also known as 10Sa RNA or SsrA, is named for its dual tRNA and mRNA-like properties. NCBI's taxonomy places the organism in Bacteria, Bacillati, Actinomycetota, Actinomycetes, Micrococcales, Microbacteriaceae. The record is from Rfam.
GGGGAUGAUCGGUUUCGACAUCGCCUGCGAAUCUGCGAGAAGCGGGCCGAGGAUGCAGGGUUAUCUCGUGAACGCCCCCUGCGAACCAAUAACUGCCAACAAGUCGCAGUCCGACUUCGCCCUCGCUGCCUGAGCAGCGAGCCCGAGUCCGUCAGUCCGUAUGUGAUUCCGAUACGGGUCCUGGCGUCAUCUAGGAAUCUUGCUUCGUAACCUCGCCUGAGGGUUGCGAGGGACUCUUUCAGGAUGAGUCCGUCGACGCAGGUGUCUGUGACAAGCGUCGGGACUGAGAACACGUCUGCACAGACUGCGCCCGGAGAAGGCGCAGAGACCCAGCGAUGGACGGGGGUUCGAUUCCCCCCAUCUCCACCA